ACGCAUUUCCCGGUACCCUCUCUACCUACUCAGUACUCAUCUCUUCCAUUUUCCUUCCGUCUCCAGACCUUCUUCUUCAUUAACACCGAAGGUUCUUCGUCUUUUUUCUCUCUCUGGAAUUGGAAUCCUUCAAAUUUUUUUCAUUCUCUAGAUCUCGUCUCCGUAAUCACCAGCUAAAAAAUGAUAUAUUGAUUCCUCCAACCCAUUACUCCAACCAUACUCCCAAUGGCACAUGAAUGAAAAUUUAAAUAAUUUUUAAGGGUAAAAUGGUCAUAAAAAUAUAGGUGGUUAUUUUUAACACAAAAGCAACCUUAGGUAGGUACUUUUGUCAAUAAUCCUAAAAUAAAUAUUAAAGAUUUUUGUAUUAUCUAUUGGUCCACGACUUUCCAACUCUUGAAAGUCUACUAUUUCACUAAAUGAUGAAUAAAUGUCAUUAAAAUCUAUUUACAAUUUAUUUAAUACUCAUCAAUAAUUCAAAAAUAGUAUAAUAUAAUAGUAGAUUAGUGGUAUACUACAAUUUAAUGUUGUUUUGCCAAAAUCAGGACCUGAUGUUGACUCUCAGUCUAUAAUUAGAUAAAUAAUUUUUAUUUGUGUAGAAAUAAUAAACGUGCUUGGCUAGUUGGCUACUUGGCUGUUAUGGCUUGUCUAUUAUGGCUUUAUGUGUAUAUAUAGAAAAAAGGAAAUCAGGAAUGAUGAUUAAAUAAUCAAUAUCUGUUCAAGCUCCAAGAACUCUCAACCCAAACUUCCAUAGACGCUAGGUUGGUGUUUGUUACCGAGUUGAUAGAACAUACUCAACAUUCAACAAUCACUCACCAGUCACCAAUGUUAUUUCGAUUCUCAAACACAAGGAUCAUAAUAAGCCGGCCGUUCUUUCUCCAUGUUUGAAUAUACCUGCUGGUUCAAGCAAAAAAUAUCAAGAUGGAGAUAAUUAACUAAUAAUAUAUAUAGAUAUUAAUGAAGUUUAAUGUUGCAGGAUGUAUCCAUAUUAUCAGAUAAUAUGGACAAAGAGGCCGUACGAAGACGAUGGUCAUACUUUGAACAAGUAUGGAUAAAAGAACAUACAAGCUUACACGGUACUGAAUAUUCAAGGAAACACUAUAAAUAUUCACAACAUAUCAAUCGAGGUUGCACAGUCACAAAGCGCUAGUGCAGAAAGAAAAUGACUACAAAGAUCCAUCCUUGUCUGUAGUCACUUAUAUCAGAAUUCGGAAACUACAUAUGCAGUCAGAACAUAAUGCGAGUCCAGACUUCAUAAAAGCUCUAUUUCAA
This 1269-nucleotide long non-coding RNA is filed under the name Zostera marina. Its description in RNAcentral is "long non-coding RNA (ZMAR_LNC004798)". The record is from RNAcentral. Lineage: Eukaryota; Viridiplantae; Streptophyta; Magnoliopsida; Alismatales; Zosteraceae.